GGUACCGUGUUGGUCGUCGUCGCAGGUGCAAGUCACGCGUUGGCAUUCAUCAGAGAGUUACAAAGGAUGACGCGAUGAAAUGGUUCCAGGUCAAAUAUGAAGGAGUCAUCCUUAACAAAUCCCAAAAUAUUUGAUCUUAGAUCUUUUCCUGACUUCUUCAAGUUUAAAUUUUGGCAAUUCGUUGACCCUGGGCAGGGAUUUAUGUACCUGGAGUUGUAAUUUUCGUCUAGAAUUUCUUGAAUUGGUAGAUAAUCUGAAGUUCUAUGUAUUUUUGUGUUCUUGUUUCACUGCUUGUGCUUUUAUCAAUAUAAUGCUGUUCGUUUAUGCUGAUAUCAUGCAUCCAGUAUUCCCAAUCAAAAUCAGUGUGGCUUGUUUGUCCAUAAUCAAAAUCGGUGUGGCUUGACAUGGACAGUAAUCGACAAAUAACAGGGCUUCGCUGCUGUGCAGGCACCCAACAAAGCAGGGGACAUAAUUUCCCGUAACUACCAUAGAGGCUUUAAGCUACAAGCAUGUGGAACCAAUAAAUUAUGUUCGUGCAGUUGGGCAAGGCAUUUUUUGUAGAUAAGCUCUUCUUAAAGUUCACAUUGACUGACUGUGACCUCUGCGGCCUUAGCUUUUCCUGGAACCGUUUUACAUGGAGUAAUAAUUAGAGAGGGGGCGCCAUUUCAUUGUCUCUGUUUUCACUUGGAUUGGAAUGAUGCAUAUUUUUUAAUAUUUUAUUUUGAUCCUCAAACAUUUUCCUCUUUGAUUUUGGAGAUUUUGUUGCUUUAAUUAUGAUUAUUUUUUAAAAUAUUUUUACUUAAAAAAACAUCAAAAUAAUAUUUUUUAAUUUUUUAAAAAUUAUUUUUGACAUCAAUGCAUCUAAAUGAUAUGAAAAUAUUAAAAAAAUAUAUUAUUUUGAAGCAAAGAAAAACAUAAUUUUUUUUAAAUUUUUUCAAAAGUGUUCUUAAACGCAAAAACAAAAGAGAAUAAAAAAUGAAAAAGAUGGGUAAAUUAGAUGUAAUCUUAGAAUUUUAUAAGAAAAGUUCAAUUUGCUCCCUCUACCUCUCAACUAAUAAAUGACCAGUUUCUUUAGUUGUUAGAAAUAUAAUUUUAUUUCUAACAAAACUUUUUUAUUUUUUUAUUUUUUAGUGUUUCUUUAGAGAGAGAGAGUCUUUGAAUUUUGGCAUAGAGAGAGAGUUGUCAUUGACGCUGACUUCGACACAAAUCAUUGACGUUGACUCUGACAUAAAAAAUAAUCGAUUUUGGUGUCAAUGAAUUUCAUUUCAAUCUAUUUUUCAUGAGAGUAGUUAGAAAGUCGUCGGAUUCCAACGUAUAGAAAGAAUUGUUAUUAAAAUUGAUUUCACACAUAAAAAAUAAUCGAUCUUAGUGUCAAUGAGUUUCACUUGAUAGGAAGUUUUACCUAGGUGUUAUUUUUCCUCUAUGCCUAAGAAGGUAGAUCUUCCUACAAUAAGAUUUUCAGGUUCAAGUUGAUUUUGGGUUUUUUAGUUGUUUUUUAGGUUAUCUGAGACUAUGAAUAUGUUUAUUAAGGUGUUUUUCCAUGUGUUUUGGGUAUAAAAAGAAAGAGAGCUGAAAAACAGGUUUUUGAGCAAAAAAACAGAAGCCCUGGUUUUUCAGGGACCUUUCGGUAGCAAGAUUUUGCAAACAGUAGAUGACAUGUCAUCUAUUUAUUUUUUAUUUUUAAAAAAUAGAGAUGGAUGAUAUGUUGUCUACCCCUUAUUAAAUAAAUAAAUAAAAUAUAAAACCAAGUCUUGUUGUGCGGGGUGGCUGGAAAGCCCACGUGCUCAGGUUCUUUUUUAAAAAGGCCUAAGCAUACUAGGCCAACAAGUCCACGUGUCUAGGCCACUAGGCUCACGUGUCUGGGCUCCUUUUUGUUUUUUUUUUUAAUUAAAAUUGUGUGUUAUUUGGUAUUUAGGUAAAAAAUAAUUAAGCCUAGUUGAGCCCAAGACGCGGCCAUAAGUUUAAUGAGUUAAUCCAAAAUGUAAAGGUCGAUCCAAUAUUUUGUUGUUUGAAUAUAUAUUUUUAAAUAUGUUAGGUUGAAUUUUCUUAACCAUUUGGUUUAUUUGAUUUUUUCUCUACGGGAUUAAUUAGCUCAAAUUUGAUCUAUUACAUUAUUGUCAUAGUCUCAUGAUCUGGAUCACGAGUAUAUCAAGUUGACAUGACUUGACUCGACCAUUUUGGUAUAUCACCAUGUCAAUAGUUUUUUAAUAAAAAAGUCAUUUUGUAGAAUUUUUGUUCCUUCAAUUUGUUUUCUUCCAGUUUCAUCUUUUAAUUUUUUAAAUAAAACUUUUAUCCUAUAAUUAGGUAAAAAAAUAAAAUUUAAAAAAUAAAUAGUUAAACUCAUUGGAUUCCAUAACCUGAAUCACGGGCUUAACAUGUUAAGUCGGGAAGCUCGGGUUGAUCAAAUAUGUUUUCGUCUCAAUUUGUUUUUUAAAAGAUGUGAUAUUGAAAUCUUUUUAAGUAUUUGGUUUAUUUAGAAUUGGUUUUCAUGAUGUGUUUCAUUUUGGUUUAUAUAGGAUUAAUUGGUUUUGGUUUGUUUUCUAUAGAGAUUUUUUUAUCAUCUUGAUUUUUUAAAUUUAGAUCACAUUAUUAUCGAUCAUUUAGUUUUCAGGUUUACUAACACAGUCAAAAAUACUUUCUACAAUGUUAACAUUUUUUAUGUUUUUUUUAAAUAAUCCAACCCGUAACGAAUCGCAAACCAAUAUUCCAAAGCUACUAGUGUGUGUUUGGCUUGGAGGUGUGGUGGCUUUUUUUCAAAGAUUCAAUCCUUUUAAAGCACAAAUCACACCUCCAAAAGCUAAAAAUACAUGCUUUUUGUGUGGGCCCCAUAAAAAAAAAAGUCAAAGCCACCUUCAAACCAAACACUCCAAAGAAGCUAAACUCCCAACCAAACUUGGUACUCUGGCUUUAGGUUUUGCUCCAAAUAACAAUGAAUUAUUAAAGUAUGUUUGGGAGAGUGGUGACUUUUGUGAUUGCGGUUGGUAAAAAGUAGUUUUUUUUAAAAUCACUUUUUCUUGUGGUUUUGUAUAAUAAAAUAUAUGUUUGGUUAAAAUCGUGGUUAAAAUUAUUGUUAUCUAAAAAGCAAUUUAUAUGUGUUUGGUUAAGUUGCUUUUGUAAGUGUUUCUGGUAAUAAAAUUACCAAUAAGGAAGAUGGGAGCAUUUGUGAGCAUUUUUUGUUGUAAUACAUAAAAAAAAAAUAAGAAUAUUACAUUAUUGUUGCCCUUCAAUCAUCUCAUUAAACUAUAUGCUAUUCCAUCAUAGACAUAAUUCAUUCGAGAAGGCCUCUAGUUGCCUUGGCUUUGAGAACGUGAAAUAACAUCGGCUAAAAAAUCAUCAGGAAUAAAAUUAGGAUUGCGAUCAUAUUCUGUAAAUGCAACAUCUUCUUGUGACUUCCUCCUAAUAUAGUUAUGUAGUGUCAUUGAUGCCACUACAUUCUGCACUUGUGACUUGUAAGGAUAUGCCAACAUGUUCUGUAAAAUUCUCUAUCUUUGUUUCCACAUUACAAAUGCACGUUCAAUGACAUUGUGAAAUGAUGAGUGUGCACGAUUUAAUCGCUCUUCCCGGCUUGUUGGUUGCCCUUGAUACUGAAAAUCUUGGAAGUCAUAUCUCUCACUUUUAUAUGGACUAAGAUAUCCAUACUCAUUUGGGUACCCAACAUCAACCAAAGAAUAUUUCCAUGCAAUGAUAAAUGAAAAAUUUAUAACAAAUUUCAUAAAAAAAUAUAGAAUAAACAUAUUUUAAAUUUAAAUAACAAUUAAUUAUUGUCAUAUAUUUACCUUAAGGAGGUUUUGGAAAUUUUAUAGUUGGAUUGUUAAUAGCCUCCAGAAAAAUAUGAGUAUCAUGAGCACUACCUUCCCAUCCUGCCUAAAAAAAUAAGAAUUGCAUAUCAAAACUAUAUGCAACCAUUACGUUCCAUGUCAGUACACCAUUUCUAUCAAUAAAUGAUAUUUGAUUUUCUUGAGAAACAGAAGCACAAACAUGUGUACCAUCUAUCACACCAAUACAAUUUUACAAAACAAAACAAUAACCAACAUUUCAUAAAUAAUGACUAGCAGAAUCUGAAACUAAUUUUUUUGUCAUUAAUUGUUAUAAACACCAUCUGUCUGACCUUAAAAUGAGGCAUAAAUCUCGGAUUCAUCAUAAUUUCUCGCGAAGUGUUUAAAAAUUCAUAGUCCUCUAGUUUAAUUAUGUCUACUGCAAGCAAACAAAUUGUCUUGAACACUACAUUAAAAUAUUGACUCAUGGUUUCACCAAAAUGUUGAAAUCUUUCUUGGACUUGCCUAUUUGAUGCACCUAAUGCAAUGGUGUACAAAAACAUUGCCACCUUAUCAAUAACACUCGUCCUUUUCGAUGGUUUCAACUCAUACUGUGUUUCCAAGUCAUAACAAAGGUUUUGUAACGUCGUUGCAUCCAUCCUAAACAUGUUAACACACCGUUUCCAGUGUCCUCGUACGAGUUCAUUUAACCAUCUCAUCCCCGUGUUAUAUGAAACCAUACAAGGUUCCUUAUGCACAUAAGUAGCAUAAUACAUGUGUAAAGCACCAGCGGUGCAUAACAAUAGUUUUUUACGAUCAAACUCUCAUAGCUAAAAUGAUUCAUCCUCGUCAUCAAUACAAUUUUCAUCUUCAUUUUAAUCACUAUCAUCAUCACUGUCAUCAUCAUCAUUAGUUCCGCCGAAAUCAUCCCCAUCAUCGCCACCAUCAUUAACUCCUCUAUUACCAUCACCAUCACCAGCAACUCCACCACUACCACCGCUACUACUAUAAUUAAUAUGAUCAAUUACAUGAUUCAUCACAGUAUCAUAAUUCUUGUCAUAGUUAACACUAAAUAUAGCAUGAACCCAUUCAUCUGUCAUAUCUACCAACAUAAAUUCAAUUACAAAUAUUUGUGUUCAUUACAAUUCAUAUCAUAAAAAAAGAUUCAUCACUUUUUAUAUACCAAUUGACAACAUUAUUUACCACUUUGAAAGAUAUGGGGAAAAAAUUCAUGUUAUAGAUUAAUAACAUCAAUUUUAUUUAGAACAUAUAUAGAAAAAGAAAAAAAAUGAAUGUCAUGUUUUUUUACGAGUUUGGAAAUGGUAAGCAAAGGAUGAAUAAGAAAAAUACGCACUAGAUUAUAUGCAUGAUUUUUCAUGUGAAAUAAAAAUUCAAUCAACUAUCUUUGACUUAAAUAUUUGUGUCGACUGGAAACUUCAUUUGAUGUUGCAUAUCACUGAAAUGCAUGUAUGCAAAAAACCAUCCUAAAAAAAUAGUUUGAGGACAAACUCUAGUAAAGAAUUGCAUAUAAUUCAUUCACGAUUAAUAAAAAGGUAUAGCUGGGCUUGUAUUGAAAGACCAUUGAACUUCAUUGGCAUUGAAUUUAAAAACAAACAAGCCUUUGUUUUGCACUGAAAGUUAUGAAAAACAAAAUUGAUUGAAAUAAGAGUAACUUAUAACUACAAUUUAUUUUGUAGGAGCUCUCAAAACUUAAAGUUUUCUUGUUGUAGUGUAUUGAAACGUCAUGAAGGUUAUUUCUCAUAUUGAAGUUACAACAUGUAUUAUAUAGGAAUCUGCAAGUAUUGUAGGAUAAAAAAAUAACAAAAAUGUUUUUGCAAGUUUCAGUAAAUUAUUAUAACCAAACAAAUAACAUAUAAAUUAUAGUCUGCAUCAAUGUACUAUGAAAAAAUUUUACAAAUUUAUAGAAUGCCCAUUUAUAUGUUAGCCCUAAUUACGAAUAUGCCUGACAUAUAUUAUCUUAUAUAUAUAUAUAUAUAUAUAUAUAUAUAUAUAUAUAUAUAUUUUGCCAACUUUUCAUGCACUACAUCCACUACUCCAUCAUCACUUCCUAUUUGAUGAGAUCAUAAGUAAAUAAUUAAACUUUGGUCAGUUGUAUGUACUCCAAUUUCUUUUCAACCUAUAGCCUUAUAUAUAAUUACUGUCAAGAACAAAUUGCUGGAAUAGUUUUAUUUCACAUGAUUUAUGUCGCAAAAGUCAAGCAUUAAUCAUAUUGUUUUGUCUAAAGCUGGACAUGAUGGAAAAUAUAGAAUUGUUAUGCUGCAAACAACAACUCUAUUAAUUAUUCAUGUUCUAAAAAGAAUUGUCAAGUCAAUUUACUUGUUGUAAUUUCAUGUUUUGGUUUUUAGUUCUUUCUCCUGGUAUCUUAAUAGUUUUUUUUAUCCUAUUAUGAUUUGGAACAACGUAAAUAUAUAUAAAAUUUCCAAUUUUAUUGGUGAUGUGUGAUUUCACCUUCAAGUUUCAUAAAGGCUGAUACUGAGAAUUUAACAUAUAAUUGGAUUCAUAUUGCUAUUACCAUCAAUAACAUUGCAAUAAUAGAACUAGCUAUGAUUUGAAAAUUUUCUCCAGCACCUGGAUAAGAACAAUAGUCGGCCUUAAAAUAAGAAUAUUUAUAAUAAUUCACCAUCAACAUAAUAGUAGACAACAAAACAAGUUUACCAAUAUAGCUGUAAAUUUAAAACAUGUUAGAUUAGCAAUCCGCAAACAUAAUUAAAAAAAUUUAUAAUAAUUCUCCCUCAACAUAACAACAAACAACACAACAAGUUUACUAAUAUUCCAUUAAAUUUAAAACAUAUUAGAUUAAUAAUUUGCAAACAUAAUUAAGAAAGGUGGUUCUCUACUUAAAUCAACACUACUCUUCUUGCUUCAAUCCAUCAGCCUUAGGAGUUAUUGUCAUAUUAUUCCAAACUUAUACAUCAUUUGGCACCAUAACAAAACUCCCAUGACAUCCAGUUGUUAAAGCAAUUGACAAUAAAAUAUUUGAAUUAAUCACGACAUAAUUAUUUAGGACAGAACAAAAACUAAAAGCAUUAUUAAAGCAAUACUAACCUUGAUUUAAUGCUUUUGACUUCUCUAAUACAUUUUUUGAAGCCAUUGAUACUUCCUAUCAAUAUCUUCAAUUGAUGCCCCCAUCUCUCUUUUUUUCCUCUUAGAAAAGUACUCGGUAGCAAAAUAGUAUAAUUCAUCAUUGAAAGUAAUUCCAGGUAUGGAAUAAACCUCUGUCAUCACCUCACUAAUACUACACCAUAUCUUAUCCAUACUAUCAUUCUUGAUCGAAACACGAUCAAGUAGUUGAUCCCAAUGUGAAAGCAAUUGAGCUCCAAAUUUAUAAGGUUUUUUGCUUUUCUUUUUUACUUUGCCCAUCCUAUUGUUCUCUUGUUUUUCUCUUUCCACUAUUAUUUAUGGUACUGCUAUUUCUCAUAUUAACAACAACUAAAUUGCAGACAUGAUCUAUAUAAUUGGGAAUGUCAUCCUCCUCUGAAUCACCACUUCCUUCCUCAAGAUUUUCUUCCUCAUUAACAUUAACACCCUGAGUGCUUUGAUUCAUAACAUCAUCAUCAAAUAAAGUUUCAGAAGAUUGAGUCUAAGCAUAAUGUCUAGUCGCCACAACAUUGCUGAACAUUCCAUCAAACUUACUGCAAAAUGAUGGUUCAAUCCCAGUAUGUCUAAACUUUUUGGACCAUCUGAUUUUCUAUAUAAAAGAAAUAUAAAACAUCAAAUUCAUAAACCAUAUAAAACAUGCUAAGCAGUUUAAGAAAUAAGACAAAACAAAGACAAAUCCAGACAACGAAGGUAUCGAUAAUUAACCUGAGUUUUUUUCUUCCACCAUCAUCACUAGCACUAAUAGUUCCAAGUUCACUAUUUCAUCCUACUCUUAUUUCAGAAAUCAAUUUUUUUCCAAAUCCUUCAGUCUUUUUUUGCACCAUUCCAUUUGUUUUUAAGUUGAGUCUUACUAAAAGCAUGACUAGUUUUCUCUUUAAAGAUAGCUAUAACAAAUUUUCAUCCAGCCUUAUUGAAUUGAGUGCUUGGCCUUAUUCCUCUAUCAAUAGCAGCAAUACAAAUAUCACAGAAUGUAUGCACCAUCUCUUUAGUCUAAGAUGCUUUAUCCGAGCUUUCAACACCUUCCAUUGAUUAUUUUUUUCUAGCAUGAUUCAUCAAACCACAAAAAGAACACAUGAGCAUUUAAACUUUGCAAUACUUAUUUUUUUCUAGCAUGAUUCAUCAACCACAAAAAGAACACAUGAGCAUUUAAACUUUGCAAUAAUUAUUAAAGAUGUUAUAUGCAUAGGAAUCCUUAUAAAAUUGAUAUUAAGAAAUGUGAUAAUGUUGUCAUCAAUGUAGUUGAUUCAAAUACCUAUCCCUAUUGUGUUCUAUUAUGUUUAUUUAUGCAAUAGAUAUAUACUAACGCCAAUGAUUAACAUGGUAGAUAAAUUAAUCUGAAGUCAAAAUCCUUAAAACUCCAUAGUUAAAAAAAAUAAUGACAGAACCAUAAUAAACAUUAUAAUAAUAGUUGAGCUUUCCUAACUAACUUUUCCUUCUUAAGUUAUGACCAUUAAGGUCCAGCAUUAUGAAAAACAAAUUACACAACACAUAACCACAUAUUCAGAUUCCUAAUUAUUAUAAUCGAUAAACUGUAAUUUACGAAUCAAUAACAAUAAAAUAUAACCUUUCAAGAUGUAUCAUACACUGACAUUCUAACAGAAACAUUCUACAUAAUGAAAUAUUUUCAUUUCAAAUCUAAAUAAAAGCUGCAUGGCUAUAUGAAAAAACAAACAAUAAUUUUAUUGUAAAAGACAUAGCCGAGCCAAUUAAAUUAAUACACAAAACCACUUCCACUUCAACAAAAAAUAUCAACCCAAGUUAUAAUCUAGACAACUCCCAAUCCUUUACACAAUAGGUAAUACCUAACUAGUGAAAGCUUGCUUUAUAUUCUUAUAUGUAUGAAGCCAUAUUGUUUUCUGAUAUUUAAAGUUUUUUUUUCUCAUAUUAAUUAAAGCUAUAUUGCUUUUUUUUUUGUUCUAUCAUAUGUAGAACGAAAGAACUAUAGAUGAUAAAAACUUCAGUUCUAAUUUAACAAGUCCAUGGCCACGGAAUAUACAUUAUUUUGGUACUAGUCUUUAACAAUCCAAAUGCAGAACAUGGAAAGGGAAAAAACAUAGAAGAUUUGAAAUGUACAGUCUAUUACUCAUACCCAUACAAAUAAAGCAUGGAAACCAUGUUAAUGACGAAGUAUUUAAAAACCAAAAACUAACAAAAAAAAGAGCCAUUGUGUAGAAGUCCACUUCAAACAAGAAUAAUUGAAUAUUGUGAAGGAUGCAAUGAGGAAAUGAAAUCUUAGAAUCAAAGGUAAAAGGUAAGCAAUUCUUCGAGAACUUCAAAAAACCACUUUUGAAAAUCUAGAGAUGCACAACAAUCAUCCAUGAUUUUAUUCAAAUUUCAAAAGCAAAUGGAAUUCUAAGUUCACAAAUUAUUUUUUCACAACAAAAUAUCACCAAAUACAAUGCUAAGCCACCUAAAAAAUAAUAUUUGAUAUAAAUUCCAAUAGAGUUGAUUGUUCAAACAAGGUCCAUUUAGGAACACCAAACUCCUAUAAUUUUCAAACUCUCCAAUAUUUAUAGAUUCAAAUAUUUUAUAUCAUAAACCAGAAAAAAUUACAAACAACCGAAGGUAAUUUAAUGAGAAGAUUGAUAAAGGGAAACUUUCUUGAUUUUUGUGAUGUGCGUGUCUGCACCUUUGACUUUAUGUUUAGCUACCAGUGAGAAAACCAUCAUGAAACAACCUUUAAAAAUGUUUUGAUAAACAAAACACGCCACAAACUUUCACUAGCUUGUCUAUAUGAAAACAUUGCAAACUUACCAAGUUAUAUAUGAAGUUUAGAACAGGAUGAUCCAACACAUCAAGGUCUGUAGCUUUAUCAAAUGCAUUGAAGCAUAUCUGGAGCAUAAGAAAAAAACAGUACGAGCUAAAACUAGAGGAACUUCAGAUCUAGACAUCAUGGAACAAAUAGAGUUUCACGUCUUAUCAAAACGAAUGUAACUUUCAAGGGUAACCAAUUUAAAAGAAACAUAAAGUAAUACAGACUCCACUUCUCAUUUAAUAAUAAACAACUAACCACUUUAAAGGAAACAUUGCCAUUUACUAUAGUUAAACAAAAAUAUAGACUCCAAUUCUUAUGCAAGCACUUAGUUGACCAUUUUAAAACUUUUAUCCAAUACAAGGCAUCAUCCCCCCUAAAAGUCAAGGGCAGAAAAAAGAAUCUGCAAAAACAUAAAUAUAAACUCAUCAUAAUGCAUCUAACGAGGAAGCAUGAGAAACAUAUGGUGGUCACAUGGCCAACCUGUUCAAAAACUAAGCAGAAAAAAAAAACACUUGAUAAAUGAAAAAACCAAACAAGAAAUGAAUGAAUCAAAAUAAGAUUACCAGAUUUGUAGUGAAACUUAGGGUAGGUGUGUGACGGUGAUCACAACCGGAUUAAGCGAGCUUUUGCUACAAAUAAUAGUUUGGUUUGUAGAUAUGCAAAGAAGGAAAACAUAUCUCUAAGGAGAAACAUAUGGUGGUCACAUAGCUAACCUAUUCAAAAACCAAACAGAAGAGAAGAAAAACACUUGAUAAAUGAAAAAACUAGACAAGAAAUGAAUGAAUCAAAAUAGGAUUACUAGAUUUGUAGUGAAACUCAGGGUGGGUAUGGGACUGUGAUCGCAACUGGAUUAAGCGAGCUUUUGCUACAAAUAAUAGUUGGGUUUAUAAAUAUGCAAAAAAAGAAAACAGAUCUCUAAGAAGAGUGAUGUCUUAGAGAUCUGGAGGCUACGGUGAAGAAAAAAAAGAAGCUCUAGAGAAACGGGUUACAAUGUUGCGUUUUUUAUGGGGAGAAUAGUUUUGUCCAAUAUUUGCAACGGUAUUAAGCACCCAUAAUUUCAUUGUUUAGAUACUAUCUCCUGACCAACUUUUCACGUGAAAAACUGGUAAAAGAUGCUUUUAAUUACCUGCGGCCAUACCUCAAUUUUAACAUGAGGUCCACAAGUUAAACAUCAGUUUGAUUUCAUUAUCAAACAAUAUCAAAUUGUGUCUAGAAUAAACCAUAAAAGCCACCACUCUCUCAAACGCACAAUUAAUUUAGUUUUUCUUGGUGUUGAUGUUGUGAGGAAGAAUGUCCACUUGAUAUUUGUGAAAAAUGAGUUGAGUUUAAAAACAUACACUAAUUCCAUCUCUCACUCUUUAUUUCUUCACUUUUAUCGUCAAGUUAACUCCAUCUUAUCAUCAUAAACUUGUAGAGUUCUUGAAUAUUGAAUAUUUAAUAUUGGAUCAUUCUCCUCUCCUUAGUCCGUCUAUCUUUAUUCCAUUAUUUGAAUUACUUACAUGAAAUACUAUGAAUUUGUUUGGUAAUAAAAAUAUUUGUCCAUUGUUUUCUUUCUUAAUAAAAAAAAUUGGAAACUAUGUUCAUUUAUCGAAAAAUAUUAAAUUUUUAUUUUCAUUGAACUAAAAAAUUUUACAAAACCCAAUAUCAUAACUAUUAUAAAAUAAUCUAAACCAAAAUUUAUAAUAGUUUUGUAUUUAUCAUAAUGUAACUAUAAAACAUUGCUUUUAUUUCAUUCAUAUUAAAGGUCAUCAUAAAAAAAUCUACUUACUAUCUCUAAAAAAAGGAAUAGCAUUUUAUAAUAAACUUUUAAUAGAAAAAUAAAUUUAUGACAUUGAUCAAAUAUAAAUAAAUAAAAUAAGAUAAUUUUAGAGUUUCAUGUUACUAAAAGUAUUUGUAUUUCACACAUCGCAUAGAGUAUAUAUUAUGUCUUUUUUUUUUCUGUGAGAAAAUGUCAAAUUUUUAAUUUGUGUUAACAAAUGUUUUCUUCUCCGUUCAUCAUUGUAGGCGCAUUUUAAAAAUAAUGUUUUGAUGUGUUAAUGUAAAAAAUAAUUUGUAAAAAAUAAAUAAAAAUAUUAUUUUAAUAUAUUUCUAAGUGAAAAUUACUUAAAAAAAUAACUGCUACCAUACCCCCAAAGAUUUUCAAAAAACAAAAUUAAAUGGUUUUUGUAAAUAUUUACAUGGAGGACUAUAUCCAUAAAAUUAUAAUUCACUGCAGUUUUACCAUCUAAUUUUUCAUGUAGGAAAUUUGCACAUACGCCAGCACUUUUAAUUCAAGUGAUUGUGUCUAUUAAGAUAUAUAUAGUAGUGGACGAAGAAAGUCCAGCAAUCCGUUGUAGUCUAGUUGGUCAGGAUACUCGGCUCUCACCCGAGAGACCCGGGUUCAAGUCCCGGCAACGGAAUCUUGAUUUUUCUAUUUUAUCUCAAUCAUGGAAGGGUAAUAUGGUCACUUGAGUGAGCACCCUCAACCGGGCAGGCAAGCAGAUCAUAGCACAAAACCCUAGUGGUUGUCCCUCACUUAUAUUUAAUCUUCUUGUAGAAACAAAUUCCACAGCCUUUCCUCCUCCUCCUCUGCCUCCAUCGAACCAGCCAAGCUCACACACCAUCACAAUGGUAUUGUUAUUAUAAUUCUGUACUCUAUCAAAUCUCUUUCUACAGAUGUUGUUAAUGAAUCUCUCUAACUAUUUCUUUUUUCUAAAAAUAAAAAUAAAAAAAGCAGGCUUCAGAGAAGAAGCUAUCAAACCCAAUGAGAGAAAUCAAGGUCCAGAAGCUGGUCCUCAACAUCUCCGUCGGUGAAAGCGGAGACAGGCUCACCCGUGCCGCCAAGGUGCUCGAACAACUCAGUGGGCAAACCCCGGUGUUCUCGAAAGGUGCGUGUCAUUCUAAACCCUUUUUUUUUUUUUUUUUUUUUCCUUAAAGUGCUUUUGUUUUAGUUGUUGGAUUGUUUUUUACUGUUUUUUUAAUGAGCAGCUAGGUAUACUGUGAGAUCUUUUGGGAUUAGGCGUAAUGAGAAGAUUGCUUGCUAUGUGACUGUGAGGGGAGACAAGGCUAUGCAGUUGCUUGAGAGUGGGUUGAAGGUGAAGGAGUAUGAGCUUUUGAGGAGGAACUUCAGUGAUACUGGUUGCUUUGGUUUCGGCAUCCAGGAGCACAUUGAUCUUGGAAUCAAGUGAGUCUUUUCCCCAUAUAUUUAUGGUUACUUGUUGUAAAGAUUCGCAUAAUGGAUGUCUUUUAUCCCUCUCUUAUUUUGAAUUAUAUUAGUAUUACUUGUGACCCAGUUGAAUAUGAGGCUUGAACAUUAUGCCAAUUUUGAAGGUUUAGGCUAGAAUACUUGUGGUUUAGAUGGUGCCACUAGUUUGCUGAAAUGGGGUUUAUAUAAUGUUGCAACCAUGGCGCAUGAAACAUGGUUAGCUUUGUUUGUGGAUUAUCUUUUUUUUUUAAAUGUGGACACAGUUCUAGGUUAGGUUUCUGAUUUUUUUUGUAACUCGUAUUUAAAUAUGAUUUGGCAAUUCUAGACUUAAAUGGAUUUUCAAGAGGUCUUUUAUUGUGCAUAUACGCUGAAGGAAAAAUUGUGCUUAUCCUGAUGCUUGGGUCAUCUUUUGGAUUUUUUUGAUGUUGGAAUGAAGAUAGACGAUGUGGUGGAUGGAAUAUUGAUCUUGAAGAUAACAUUCAUUUAAGUUGCAGCAGCACUCAAGGGUCAAGUUAUGCCAUAUUGUUAGUGCUAGUUUGUUUUGGAUUAAUUUUUUUUCCUUCCCAUGGAGGGAUCCAAGAAGGAUAAUUUGGUGAUACCUAACUACCUGUCUUGCAACACAGUUAUGCCUGGCUCCUUUUAGCUAGCAUUGGUAUAAACCUUGUGAUUCCACUAGGUAGUCACAUUGGCGGGACAGGGUUUUUUUUUUAAUAACUUGACCUGUUUCUGUAUUGUAUAUGCUCAGCAUAAUGUUUUAUCAUCCCUUCUCAGGUAUGAUCCUUCCACUGGUAUUUACGGCAUGGACUUCUAUGUCGUUUUGGAACGUCCUGGGUACCGUGUUGGUCGUCGCCGCAGGUGCAAGUCACGUGUUGGUAUUCAUCAGAGAGUUACAAAGGAUGACGCGAUGAAAUGGUUCCAGGUCAAAUAUGAAGGAGUCAUCCUUAACAAAUCCCAAAAUAUUUGAUCUUAGAUCUUUUCCUGACUUUUUUUAAGUUUAAAGCCUGGGAAGUCGUUAACCUUUGGCAGGUUUUUAUGUACCUGGAGUUAUAAUUUUCAUCUAGAAUUUCUUGAAGUGGUAGAGAAUCUGAAGUUCUAUGUUUUUGUGUUCUUGUGUCACUGCUUG
RNAcentral lists this long non-coding RNA (13937 nucleotides) under Populus trichocarpa (black cottonwood). RNAcentral's name for it is "long non-coding RNA (PTRI_LNC002716)". The stretch from base 11957 to 12029 matches the Rfam family "tRNA". Lineage: Eukaryota; Viridiplantae; Streptophyta; Magnoliopsida; Malpighiales; Salicaceae. The record is from RNAcentral.